Molecule: ribosomal RNA, 200 nt
Filed under: uncultured bacterium
Lineage: Bacteria
Description: partial 16S ribosomal RNA
Rfam family: Bacterial small subunit ribosomal RNA
Source: RNAcentral
GAUGAACGCUAGCGGCAGGCUUAAUACAUGCAAGGCGAAGGGGCAGCAAUGUCACUGUCGUACGGGUGCGUAACGCGUAUGCAACCUACCUAUCACUGGGGGGAUAGCCCGGGGGAAACCCGGAUUAAUACCGCAUAACACAGGGGUCCCACCUGGGACUAUUUGUUAAAGAUUUAUCGGUGGUAGAUGGGCAUGCGUUC